Molecule: long non-coding RNA, 1115 nt
Organism: Gallus gallus (chicken)
Lineage: Eukaryota; Metazoa; Chordata; Aves; Galliformes; Phasianidae
Source: Ensembl
CUUGUACUGAAGUGAGGCAAAUUCCUCUCCAAGUGUUGCAGAGACCAGAAACCCAGAAAGUAAGAUUUAAUUGCACUGAAGAAAAAAAGCUGUGCUUCCUGUAAAUCUCAAUCGCUACUGAGGAGAGUCAAUACAUUUUUAAUCAAACUUCAUCACUGAUUUUGCACUGAUCACUGAAAUGCAGAAACAUGACAUUUACUACCAUGUUUGCCAUCCAGACCACAUCAGUCAUGUGGUCUCACAGCCAUAUUCCUUGAUAUUGCUGGCUGCUUUUCCAUCAUAUGCUAAUUACACAGUCAUGUAUAGGUUAGGAAGCUCCAUGGUUCCUCAAUAUGGAAGGAUCUGCAUUGCUAGUCCAAUAUAAUCUUGUUGACCUUGAACACCUGAAUCAUCUCAAUUCUACCAUAGCCAGGUGAAUAUAUCACAGACAUCCACAGGUAGAUCCUGCACAACAGCUUCAGUUUCAAUGAAUAUUCUUGAGAAAUAUUUCCACAGAACACUAACUGUUCAACGUUUCUUGACAGAAGACACUUCGUGAGACAAUUUCUCAAGAGCUCUGACUAUGGAAUCUUUAAGAAAGAAAAGCAGCUCUGGAUAAUCCUGCCUGAUUGCCUCUGAUUAAUGCUAACAUCAUACACUGAAAGCAUUGUUAGAUAAGAGCAUAGAAGACCUUGAAGUAGUCUAUUGCAAAAUAGGUACUGACGCUUUAACGGUACAUCUAAUUUCAGUCGGUUUUAUGGAGACCUACUCAACAAGCUAAGAAUUUACAAACCUCAAGUUUCUUGGAUUUUGGAAGAAACCUUCUCAAGGCAGCUACUACACAGCCAAAGAAGUCACAGCUGCUAUAGUGAUCUGAGCCCAAAUAGCACUGCACUUCAAGGAAACAGUAAUCCAUGUAACAGUUAACGCCAGUAGGAUCUGACUGCACGUACAACAUUGUCUUAAGGCCUGUGGUGAAUUGUGUCUCUUUUCCCUUGCUGCAGAAUGAACUUGGUGGGCUUGCUGUAACACGUGAACUUGUACCCAGCUCCCGCUCAGUACCAGCGAUGACACAGCCUGCAUCUCUUGCCUUUAUCAAACUGUACAGCAACACGUUCUCAUGGGAACAUCACUUU